Molecule: ribosomal RNA, 407 nt
Filed under: Candidatus Pelagibacter sp.
Lineage: Bacteria; Pseudomonadati; Pseudomonadota; Alphaproteobacteria; Candidatus Pelagibacterales; Candidatus Pelagibacteraceae
Description: bacterial SSU rRNA
Rfam family: Bacterial small subunit ribosomal RNA
Source: RNAcentral
AUUAAACUUGAGAGUUUGAUCAUGGCUCAGAAUGUACGCUGGCGGCACGCCUAACACAUGCAAGUCGAACGAAGUAGCAAUACUUAGUGGCAGACGGGUGCGUAACAUGUGGGAAUCUGCCUUUUGGUUCGGAACAACAUGGGGAAACCUGUGCUAAUACCGGAUAAGUCCUUACGGAGAAAGAUUUAUCGCCGAGAGAUGAGCCCGCACUUGAUUAGCUUGUUGGUAAGGUAAAAGCUUACCAAGGCAACGAUCAAUAGCUGAUUUGAGAGGAUGAUCAGCCACACUGGGACUGAGACACGGCCCAGACUCCUACGGGAGGCAGCAGUGGGGAAUCUUGCACAAUGGAGGAAACUCUGAUGCAGCGAUGCCGCGUGAGUGAAGAAGGCCUUUGGGUUGUAAAGCUC